RNAcentral lists this ribosomal RNA (120 nucleotides) under Helianthus annuus (common sunflower). The record is from RNAcentral. Lineage: Eukaryota; Viridiplantae; Streptophyta; Magnoliopsida; Asterales; Asteraceae.
GGUUGCGAUCAUACCAGCACUAAUGCACCGGAUCCCAUCAGAAAUCCGCAGGUAAGCGUGCUUGGGCGAGAGUAGUACUAGGAUGGGUGACCCCCCUGGGAAGUCCUCGUGUUGCAACCC